Long non-coding RNA from Salvia miltiorrhiza (redroot sage), 390 nucleotides. RefSeq lists it as uncharacterized. The record is from RefSeq and is a predicted model, not a curated record. The transcript is spliced from 4 exons. Lineage: Eukaryota; Viridiplantae; Streptophyta; Magnoliopsida; Lamiales; Lamiaceae.
UUUCAAAAUAUUUCAGUUCCAUCUCCGAGAGAGAGAGAGAUGGGUCGGAAAAUAGACAUGAAAAAGAUAGAGGACGUAACAAAAUGUCAAGUAACAUUCUCAAAGCGUCGUAGCAGUCUGAUGAAGAAGGCCAAUGAAAUAGCAGUGUGCUGUGAUGUUGACGUUGCAUUUGUUGCAUUUUCCCCUUCGGGUCGUGUUAGCAAGUUUUGCAAUCAAAAGAGAAUUGAAGAUGUGCUCCAUCGGUAUGUCAAUCUACCAGCGGACAAGAGAUUAAAUCAUAUAAACAAUGUCCCGGAAAAAAUGGAGAAGUUAAAGCAGCUUAGACACAUAAAUGGUGAUACCAGCAAGCUACACUAUCUUGACAAACAGUUAAUCUCUCUCUCUAUCUCU